UGGGGAAUAUUGGACAAUGGGGGAAACCCUGAUCCAGCCAUGCCGCGUGCGUGAAGAAGGCCUUAGGGUUGUAAAGCGCUUUCGGCGGGGAAGAUGAUGACGGUACCCGCAGAAGAAGCCCCGGCUAACUCCGUGCCAGCAGCCGCGGUAAUACGGAGGGGGCUAGCGUUGUUCGGAAUUAUUGGGCGUAAAGAGCUCGUAGGCGGUUGCGUAAGUCGGAUGUGAAAACUCAGGGCUCAACCCUGAGACGCCAUCCGAUACUGCGCUGACUUGAAUCCAGUAGGGGAGUGUGGAAUUCCUGGUGUAGCGGUGAAAUGCGCAGAUAUCAGGAGGAACACCCAUGGCGAAGGCAGCACUCUGGGCUGGUAUUGACGCUGAGGAGCGAAAGCAUGGGUAGCGAACAGGAUUAGAUACCCUCGUAGUCCCUGAGCGGGCUGGCAAGGCGCAU
RNAcentral lists this ribosomal RNA (448 nucleotides) under uncultured bacterium. RNAcentral's name for it is "bacterial SSU rRNA". It matches the Rfam family "Bacterial small subunit ribosomal RNA", at positions 355 to 825 of the family's 1533-position model. The record is from RNAcentral.